UGAAUACGAGACGCUAAGGCGUCGAAGUAGUGUAUGUCAUACUUCCAAGAAAAGCUUGCACUGUCAUAGAUAAAAAACGCCUGUACCAUAACCGACACAGGUGGGUAGGUAGAGUAUACUAAGGGGCGCGAGAUAACUCUCUCUAAGGAACUCGGCAAAAUAACUCCGUAACUUCGGGAGAAGGAGUGCCUUAUUCGUAGGUUGCAAUAACAAGAUCCAAGCAACUGUUUAUCAAAAACACAGGUCUCCGCUAAGUCGUAAGACGAUGUAUGGGGGCUGACGCCUGCCCAGUGCCAGAAGGUUAAAGAAGUUGGUUAGCAAUUGCGAAGCUGAUAACUGAAGCCCUGGUGAACGGCGGCCGUAACAAUAACGGUCCUAAGGUAGCGAAAUUCCUUGUCGGGUAAGUUCCGACCCGCACGAAAGGCGUAAUGAUUUGGAUACUGUCUCGGAGAGGGGCUCGGUGAAAUAGACUUGUCUGUGAAGAUGCGGACUACCUGCACCAGGACAGAAAGACCCUAUGAAGCUUUACUGUAACUUGAAAUUGAAAUUGGACUUUAUUCGCGCAGUAUAGGUGGGAGGCGUUGAUUAUAAUCUUGUGGGAUUAUUGGAGCCAUCAGUGAGAUACCACUCUUGUAAUGUUAGAUUUCUAACUUUGAAUCAUUAUCUGGUCAAAGAACAGUUUCAGGCGGGCAGUUUGACUGGGGCGGUCGCCUCCUAAACGGUAACGGAGGCGUACAAAGGUUUCCUCUGAACGGUUAGAAAUCGUAUCUAGAGUGUAAAGGCAUAAGGAAGCUUGACUGUGAGACCUACAAGUCGAGCAGGGACGAAAGUCGGUCUUAGUGAUCUGACGGUACUGAGUGGAAAGGCCGUCACUCAACGGAUAAAAGUUACUCUAAGGAUAACAGGCUGAUCUCCCCCAAGAGUUCACAUCGACGGGGAGGUUUGGCACCUCGAUGUCGGCUCAUCGCAUCCUGGGGCGGUAGUACGUCCCAAGGGUUGGGCUGUUCGCCCAUGAAAGCGGUACGCGAGCUGGGUUCAGAACGUCGUGAGACAGUUCGGUCCAUAUCCGGUGUAGGCGUUAGAAUAUUGAGAGGAGCCUUCUUUAGUACGAGAGGACCGAGAAGGACAUACCUCUGGUGUACCAGUUAUCGUGCCAACGGUAAACGCUGGGUAGCUAUGUAUGGAGUGGAUAACCGCUGAAAGCAUCUAAGUGGGAAGCCCACCUCAAGAUAAGUAUUCUCAUCA
This 1245-nucleotide ribosomal RNA is filed under the name metagenome. Its description in RNAcentral is "bacterial LSU rRNA". It matches the Rfam family "Bacterial large subunit ribosomal RNA", at positions 1564 to 2819 of the family's 2925-position model. The record is from RNAcentral.